UGGCAGACACUAUGACCAAAAGCAACAC
This 28-nucleotide non-coding RNA is filed under the name Rattus norvegicus (Norway rat). Lineage: Eukaryota; Metazoa; Chordata; Mammalia; Rodentia; Muridae. The record is from RNAcentral.